UCGGCACUUGUAUAUAUAGACACAUGCUCUCCAAUCGUGAAUAUCAAUAUCCUUCGCUUGCAAGCUACCGUGUGUCCACUUUUGACUGCUCGAAAACAUUGACACGAAGGUAAUUUUUUCUUCUUCUUUUGUGUUUUUCUUAUUUUAUUGUCCUUUUUUUUAGGUCAAGCGAGAAAGAUAUGUUUUUGUUCAACAAGAUAAUCCACGCAUGAAGAAGGCGAUCUUAGGGUGUGAGGGGAUGGGUACUCAUCCUCACCCAAAUAUUAAAGGGAUUACUUUCAUGGCCCGAUUCUUGGAGAGAUUACUCUGACAAUGACCCAAUCCUUGGAGAGAUUACUCUCAAUGUGGCCCAAUUUUUGGAGAGAUUACUCUCAAAAUGGCCCGACUACCGGAGAGAUUACUCUCAAAAUAGCCCAACUACCGGUGAGGCCAACUCAAAGUGCAAAGGGACGCAUAUGUCCACCUUAAGAUUGGAAAGUUAUAAUUCCUUUUAAGGAAAAACCCAUGAAGAGGCCAACUUAAGGUGCUAAGGGACUUAUAUGUCCACCUUAAGAUUGGAAAGUACGCCAGCUCCUACAUAUAUAACUUAAAUACGGAUGCGGCAUAUUUGACACGCUCUAAUAGAAAUG
Molecule: long non-coding RNA, 629 nt
Filed under: Nicotiana benthamiana
Lineage: Eukaryota; Viridiplantae; Streptophyta; Magnoliopsida; Solanales; Solanaceae
Description: long non-coding RNA (NBEN_LNC010259)
Source: RNAcentral